ACCCUUUACAAUGAAGAUCUGUUAAGUUAUUUGGAUUCAUACGAAUUAUCAUUGGACGACAGGGUCCUGAAAAAGGGCUGUUUCUUUUUUGCUGAGUUUAUAAUGACAGAAGAGAAACUGCAUGUAUCUAACUAUAGACAAGUUGACUAACAAAUAGCCUUCCAAAGUGUUGGACAUUCUUUACAUUAAGAAAUAGGACAUUUUAGACACAGAUAUACUUAUAUAUAUUUCAUAUAGAUGAGUGAAUGGAACUUCACUCGGGCCUCCUUCCUUCACCCAGUAAAUAAAAAAAAAUGGCUGACUGUUACAGCACGCAGGGGAGUAAAAACCACGGCUGUGUCUUUUUUGUUUUGUUUUACCUCAAUGUCGAAAUGCCCAGUGACGUUUGCCUCUAGUGUGUGUGUGUGUGUGUGUGUGUGUGUGUGUGUUCUCAGAACAUUGUGAAGUCUAUACUCAGGAGAUCUGUCUUUGCUGGAGGCCUUGUGAAAACAAUAACUUUUUGGCGCAGGGCAGACUGCUGAAAUGUUAAAUGGUGAGCACAGUGCAGGACUGGUUACGAAGCCAAUAACAUCGUCACUCUUUUAAAAAGGGGUUGGAUCUGUAGAUGUAGAACCAGCUAUCGAGGAAUACACUCCACAAAGCUGAAGGGUUGGUUCAGGUGACUGUACAAUACUGAUAGCUGAAGGGUUGGUUCAGGUGACUGUACAAUACUGAUAGCUGAAGGGUUGGUUCAGGUGACUGUACAAUACUGAUAGCUGAAGGGUUGGUUCAGGUGACUGUACAAUGCUUAUGGCUCAAGGGUUGGUUCAGGGUUGCUUAUGGCUCAAGGGUUGGUUCAGGGUUGUUUAUAGUUGAAGGGUUGGUUCAGGGUUGCUUAUGGCUCAAGGGUUGGUUCAGGUGACUGUACAAUGCUGAUAGCUGAAGGGUUGGUUCAGGGUUGCUUAUAGCUGAAGGGUUGGUUCAGGUGACUGUACAAUACUGAUAGCUGAAGGGUUGGUUCAGGUGACUGUACAAUGCUUAUGGCUCAAGGGUUGGUUCAGGUGACUGUACAAUACUGAUAGCUGAAGGGUUGGUUCAGGUGACUGUACAAUGCUUAUGGCUCAAGGGUUGGUUCAGGUGACUGUACAAUACUGAUAGCUCAAGGGUUGGUUCAGGGUUGCUUAUAGCUGAAGGGUUGGUUCAGGUGACUGUACAAUACUGAUAGCUGAAGGGUUGGUUCAGGUGACUGUACAAUACUGAUAGCUGAAGGGUUGGUUCAGGUGACUGUACAAUACUGAUAGCUGAAGGGUUGGUUCAGGUGACUGUACAAUACUGAUAGCUGAAGGGUUGGUUCAGGUGACUGUACAAUACUGAUAGCUGAAGGGUUGGUUCAGGUGACUGUACAAUACUGAUAGCUCAAGGGUUGGUUCAGGUGACUUUACAAUACUGAUAGCUGAAGGGUUGGUUCAGGUGACUGUACAAUGCUUAUGGCUGAAGGGUUGGUUCGGGUGACUGUACAAUACUGAUAGCUGAAGGGUUGGUUCAGGGUUGCUUAUAGCUGAAGGGUUGGUUCAGGGUUGCUUAUAGCUGAAGGGUUGGUUCAGGUGACUGUACAAUGCUGAUAGCUGAAGGGUUGGUUCAGGGUUGCUUAUGGCUGAAGGGUUGGUUCAGGUGACUGUACAAUGCUGAUAGCUGAAGGGUUGGUUCAGGGUUGCUUAUAGCUGAAGGGUUGGUUCAGGUGACUGUACAAUGCUGAUAGCUCAAGGGUUGGUUCAGGGUUGCUUAUAGCUGAAGUUCUACCAUAGAUCCCAACAGGCAGAGCUGGUUGAAAUAACGUCAAUGUGACAACAUUACAACCAGAAUAGAAGAUAUUUUCUAGAAGUAUUUGCCCCGUGCGAUAGGGCUUUAAAUAGAUGCUAGUUACACAUCAGUAGUUGGUCAGUAACCCACCACUAACAGCUCCUACAGCUAGAGGUUUUGCCCCGUGCGAUAGGGCUUUAAAUAGAUGCUAGUUACACAUCAGUAGUUGGUCAGUAACCCACCACUAACAGCUCCUACAGCUAGAGGUUUUGCCCCGUGCGAUAGGGCUUUAAAUAGAUGCUAGUUACACAUCAGUAGUUGGUCAGUAACCCACCACUAACAGCUCCUACAGCUAGAGGUUUUGCCCCGUGCGAUAGGGCUUUAAAUAGAUGCUAGUUACACAUCAGUAGUU
Oncorhynchus keta (chum salmon) is the source of this 2191-nucleotide long non-coding RNA. RefSeq lists it as uncharacterized. The record is from RefSeq and is a predicted model, not a curated record. The transcript has 4 exons. Lineage: Eukaryota; Metazoa; Chordata; Actinopteri; Salmoniformes; Salmonidae.